CAGUAGCCACGGUAAUACGUAGGUGGCAAGCGUUGUCCGGAAUUAUUGGGCGUAAAGCGCGCGCAGGCGGUUUCUUAAGUCUGAUGUGAAAGCCCCCGGCUUAACCGGGGAGGGUCAUUGGAAACUGGGAGACUUAGAGUGCAGAAGAGGAGAGUGGAAUUCCAUGUGUAGCGGUGAAAUGCGUAGAUAUAUGGAGGAACACCAGUGGCGAAGGCGACUCUCUGGUCUGUAACUGACGCUGAGGCGCGAAAGCGUGGGGAGCAAACAGGAUUAGAUACCCCCGUAGUCCCUGUCUCUUAUU
This 301-nucleotide ribosomal RNA is filed under the name uncultured bacterium. RNAcentral describes it as "partial 16S ribosomal RNA". It matches the Rfam family "Bacterial small subunit ribosomal RNA", at positions 509 to 808 of the family's 1533-position model. The record is from RNAcentral.